GUUCCCACCAACAAUGGUGAAUCCUCUGGGCUCCAACAAUAUGUUUUUUCUCGCCGGCGCAGGGAAUAGAGGUUUGGAGAUUGAAGGAAAAUUUGUGAAGUUUACUGCGAUCGGUGUGUACUUGGAAGAGAGUGCUAUUCCAUUUCUAGCUGAUAAAUGGAAAGGGAAAAGCUCUGAGGAGUUGGAACAUUCAGUCGAAUUCUUCAGGGAUAUCGUUACAGGUCCAUUUGAGAAAUUCACUCGAGUGACUAUGAUCUUGCCCUUGA
Molecule: unclassified non-coding RNA, 266 nt
Filed under: Hevea brasiliensis (rubber tree)
Lineage: Eukaryota; Viridiplantae; Streptophyta; Magnoliopsida; Malpighiales; Euphorbiaceae
Source: RNAcentral